Oryctolagus cuniculus (rabbit) is the source of this 6682-nucleotide non-coding RNA. Lineage: Eukaryota; Metazoa; Chordata; Mammalia; Lagomorpha; Leporidae. The record is from RefSeq and is a predicted model, not a curated record.
UCCCUGUGGAAAUAAAAAGAACCAGCUGUUAAAUGACUUAUGAGCAAAAAGAAGUCCUUUUCAAAGGGAGGUAUUGUUCCAUUUAAAGAAAUCUCCCUAUAAAAAUUCACACUAGCUAGUAAGGAAAGUAAUUUUAACUGCUGAUCUUGUCAUGCAUGAUGACUUUCUAAAAUGUCUGGCCAGCUCUCUGCUUCAAUUCAACAACUAGGAUCUCAAACAUCAGCAGCUGAGAUUUUUUUCAAACAGAACUCAGCCAAAACCUUUAAUUUAAACAACAACCAAGACGCUAACGCAGGCCAGCAGUCCAUAUCUUAAGCUGGGAGUCCCUAAAUGGAAAGGUAUCAGGCUCUACACACCAAGCUGAUCAGGGAGCCUCCGCCCAGCUAACCUCAAGUUUUUCACCACCAAUAGCUUAACUGGACAGGAACCCUACACAUGUGGACUAAACUCCAAGAAAAUAUAGAUAGCCUCUGACACCAUGGCUAUUUUAUUUUGAAUACAUGACUUUUCAACAAAAACUAAGAUUUAUAAGGAGGAGAAAAUAUUGCCUCUACUCACCCUAUCCUAGCCACCCGCUCCAAGGGAAGAAGAGUUGCUAAUCUGAUUGGUUAGAAGGCACGACAGUGACCACAUCAUGCUUACCCAUGGGCAGAAGCUAGCCACGCAUCUGUUCUCUCCCUUUGUGAUUUUCUACACAUGGCACAGUAAGUAAAUGGACUCAGAGCAGGCCUGGCCACUUCUUCCCAUAUAUAGUCUUGCCACAGCAUGCAAGUCAUCAUCUAUACAUACUGUAGUAUGCGGCACACCAGAAAGUACUACUAUUCCAAGAUUUAGAUUUGGACUCAGGUUGAAGGCUCUUCUUUGGCCUGAAGCCUAAACCACAUGCACUAAUCCAAUUUUCCAGAGAGCCCUACAAUGGGGAACUGGGUCGUAAGCCAGAUAAUGAAAGUGCUGUGUUGAUAGUUACUUCCCAGUUGAUCCCUGUGUGUGUCUUAUCAAAAAACCCUUGGGAAGUACAGCUGAGUAGAAGGCAUGAUUGAAAUAUUCCUCAUUACCAGAGUAAGAAUUGGGUAUAGCAAUUAAGAUGCCAUCUAGGACACUCACAUCCCAUACUGGACUGCCUGCUCCCAAGUCCAGCUUCCUGCUAAUGUGUGCCCUGGGAGGCAGCAGGUGAUGGCUACAGUAGUUGGGUUCCUGCCAGCCACACGGAAGAUCUAGAUUGAGUUUUCAGCUCCCUUGGCAUUUGGAGAGUUAACCAAUAAUGAGGAGUUUUCUCUCUCUCUCUUCCCCUCUAUAUUUUCCCCUCUCUCGGCCUCUCAGACAAAUAACAAAAUAAAUCAAAAUUUAAAACUAAACAUUCUCCAUAAAAUCCUUGGACCCUUUGCUUUCAUAAGGAAAAAUAUCUCUAAUUAUAAAGUUCAUAGAAUCAGAAAUGUUAUAACCAGUAUAUCAUUGAUAAUGAAUAUUGAACAUAAGAGGUAUAUAAUUACAUUAAGAUUAUAUAUACAGAAUUUAAAUGAUUAGAAAAGAAAAAUAUUAAGAUUCUUACAAUAUGGAUACAUUACCUGGACAAAAUCUGGGUUGGCUCUUUGUCAUUUAUUUUUUUUUUUUUUUUUUUUUUUUGACAGGCAGAGUGGACAGUGAGAGAGGGAGAGACAGAGAGAAAGGUCUUCCUUUGCCGUUGGUUCACCCUCCAAUGGCCGCCGCGGCCGGCGCGCUGCGGCCGGCGCACCGCGCUGAUCCGAUGGCAGGAGCCAGGAGCCAGGUGCUUUUCCUGGUCUCCCAUGGGGUGCAGGGCCCAAGCACCUGGGCCAUCCUCCACUGCACUCCCUGGCCACAGCAGAGGGCUGGCCUGGAAGAGGGGCAACCGGGACAGAAUCCGGCGCCCCGACCGGGACUAGAACCCGGUGUGCCGGCGCCGCUAGGCGGAGGAUUAGCCUAGUGAGCCGCGGCGCCGGCCUGUCAUUUAUUUUUCAACUAACACCCUAUUUUGUCUCUCCUAACUGAUGGGUUCUUCAAAGUAAGGUGGUGACAUCCCAGCAUCGCAGAGAAAGGGCCCUGUCUCCUUUAUCAAAAAAUACCUAACAUCUCAGCAAUGAGUGGUGUCAACUAACAACAACCAGUAUUUGAAAAUUCCCCAGGGUCAGGCCUUGCUCUGGCACUUUUCAUUUGGAUCGCACAUCCCCCACUAACUAGCACCAAUGCCUAAAGCACCAGCCACCAGUAAGUGAUCAACGAGGGCAGGCUUGAGAAUGAAAAAAGAAAACAAAAAUAACACUGACGACUUCUCCUGUGGUCAGUGGAAGCAUUACUUUCCUUGAGACACUCUUGCUGCAGCAUCUAAGGUUUGUGGCUAUUGAGGUUUCCUGUUGGUGGAAACCGGAGGAAAGAGACUAAAUGUGAGGCUCAAGUGGACGGGAAAAAAGGAGACUUUCUGUUACCCUUCUUUCUUACUGCUUUUCUGCUAGACAACAAAAGCACCGCAAACUCUGUGAUCUCACAGCAAAAGUGGCAAUCCUUUAAAGCGUGAAUGCAAUCUUCAAUCAAGAAAGGAGGACAGUCAAUAGAAGAAGUAAUGGAAGCAUGAAAUUUGAAAAGGGUCUCACUCCAUCUGAUAAACUGAAGACACUGGCCUCAGAGAUGUUAAGUGACUUCUAUAGGGCCUCAUACAAACUAAGUGAUAGAACUGGAAUUUGAAACUGGGUCCAUAUGGCCACAAAAUCCAAGCUCUCUCCAGGACACUGCUGCAAAUGAAGAAUAAGAAAAUGCUUUCAUCUUACUUACCCGUAGUCAUCUAUCAGGUGAGAGCCAAGUACCACCACAUCAAGUUCAAAGAACUCGGGUUCCGUCUUGAUGCCAAACAUGAUCGGGGCAAGUUUAGAAUAAUCGGCACGGUUGCAAGUAGCAACGCAAACCCGCAGCUUUCGGUUAUUCCCGUUCUUCUCCAUGAGUUUUUUUGUUUGCUUUGAGAGGUUCUUAAAAUAGAGUUCCUGAAGUUGCAAAAAUAAAAAUGACUUAUAAUCAGAAUGAUAAGUGUUAGAUACAAAAACAGAACUUUUCACUUGGAAGUCCUUAAGCGCAGUGAUUCCUAACCUUUGUUUCCACCCUCUGGGACACUCCCAUUGGUAAACCCAGAGUUGUGAAAUUCCAGCAGACCAAAUAACUCCACCCCUUUCUCUCACACUCAAGACAACACACUAGAAUGCAAUAAAGGAGUGACAAGGGAACAGGCAUUUGGUACAGUGGUUGGUUAAGUCACUGUUUGGGAUGCCUGCAUCCCACACUGGAGUGUCUAGUUCAAGUCCAGCUUCCUGCUGGUGCUUCCGAGUGGUAGCAGGUGAUGGCUAAAGAAGUUGGAUCCCUGUCACUCAUGUUGGAGAUCCAAACUGAGUUUCUGGCUUCUCGUUUUGGUAUGGCCCAGCCCUGACUGUUGUCAGCAUAUGAGGAAUGAACCAGCAGAUGGACAAUCUCUAUCUGUCUCUUUCUCUGUGUUAUCCCUCUGCUUCUCAAAUAAGAGGAAAAUAAAAUUUCUAAAAAAGAAAUGACAAAAUCAGUUCUCACUGGAAAGGCAAGGAAAUAUCAGUUUUAACAUUUAUUUAUUUAUUUUUUGACAGGCAGAGUGGACAGUGAGAGAGAGAGACAGGUCUUCCUUUGCCAUUGGUUCACCCUCCAAUGGCUGCUGCGGCCGGCGCACCACGCUGAUCCGAUGGCAGGAGCCAGGUACUUAUCCUGGUCUCCCAUGGGGUGCAGGGUCCAGGCACUUGGGCCAUCCUCCACUGCACUCCCUGGCCACAGCAGAGAGCUGGCCUGGAAGAGGGGCAACCGGGACAGAAUCCGGCGCCCCGACUGGGACUAGAACCCGGUGUGCCGGCGCCGCUAGGCGGAGGAUUAGCCUAGUGAGCCGCAGUGCCGGCCAGCUUUAACAUUUAUUAAAAAAAAUUUUGUGGGGCCAGUACUAUGGUAUAGCCAGUAAAGCCACUGCCUGCAGUGCUGGCAUCCCAUAUGGGCACCGGUUCAAGUCCCAGCUGCUCCACUUCCAAUCCAGUUCUUUGUUAUGGCCUGGGAAAGCAGUGGAAGAUGGCCCCUGCACCCAUGUGGGAGACCUGGAGGAAGCUCCUGGCUCCUGGCUUUGGAUCGGCAUAGUUCCAGCCAUUGUAGUAGCCAUUUGGGGAGUAAACCAGUAGAUGGAAGACUUCUCUCUUUCUCUCUCUGCCUCUCUGUAACUCUGGCUUUCAAGUAAAUAAAAUCUAGGGGCCGGCGCUGUGGCGUAGCAGGUUAAGCUGCUGCCUGCAGUGCCCCAUCCCAUAUGGGCACCAGUUGAAGACCCGGCAGCUCCACUUCCAAUCCAGCUCUCUGUUAUGGUCAGGGAAGGCAGCAGAGGAUGGCCUAAGUCCUUGGGCCCCUGUACUCUUGGAGACCCAGAGAAAGCUCCUGGCUUCAUAUCAGGUGUAGCUCCAGCUGUUGUGGCCAACUGGGGAGUGAACCAGCAGAUGGAAGACCUCUCUCUCUGCCUCUGCUUUCUCUGUGUAACUCUGACUUUCAAAUAAAUAAGUAAGUCUUUAAAAAAAUCUUUCAAAAAAAAAAUCUGUGCUUGCUAUACCUUACAACUAAGCCUAACAUACUAGGCUAUAGCUAGUUUGGCUGAGAACCACCAACCACUUUACAAAAAGGGAAAUACAGGUCCUAAAAGCAGAACUUACUUUCCCAAGACUCAAGAUCACAUCUUUUAAAAAAUUUUUUAAAUCCAUAUAUUUUACUUAUUUUAAAGUCAGACAGAGAGUCUUCAUCUACUGGUUUACUCCCCAAGUACCCACAACAGCCGGGGCUGGGCUAAGCUCAGGCCAGGAGCCCAGACCUUAGUCUGCAUCUCCCAAGUGGGUGGCAGCAACUCAACUACUUAAGCCACCACCCACUCUCUCCCAGAUGUAUAUUAGCAGGAAGCUGGGAUCAGGAAAGGAGCCGGGCAUCAGACCCAGGUUCUCUGACAUGUGUCUUAACUGCUGUGCCAAACACCUACCCUCAAGAUGAUAUCUUAAUAAGAACCUAAUCUAUUCAUCUUAACAUUAUACACCCCCGUGGCUCAAAUGCAAAGCACUGUAAUUAGUGCUGGGGAACAGCAGGAUAAUUAAGAUGAAAAACCCUACCCUCAAGGCAUCGUUAACACCUACCCAACACUGCUGACUGCCAAACUCCAAAUGCACACCAGAGAGCUCUUGCUAUGUGUCACAGCACUUAAAGUCAGUGUCCCAAACUGAACUCAUCUUCUUUUCGAAACCUGUUCCUCCGUAACUGUUCUCUGAUUCAGUUAUGCACUUCCAUGUAUCCAAAGGCCUCAACAUCCUUAUCUUUUCUGUUCCGCAUUCCAUACCCUCUAAGCUCUGUCAAUUCCACCUCCUGAAUAUCCACCAAAUGUGUCCUCUCCUCUUCAAUCCUACCAGGACCUCCCUUGGUCCAGUCCCUCAUCUUAGCUCUGGACUAUUAAUAACAGCUUUGAAGUGAUUGGCCUGUCUCUAGUCUUAACCUGUCUCCAACAAACUUUCAAAGUUAUUUUUCCAAAGAUGAUAUAUGUGGUUAUCACACUAAACAGAAUACACUACCUAUGGGACAUAUAUAGGAUAAAGUCCAAGUUGUUGCUCCAAGUUGUUGAUAAGAAACAUGUAGUCCGUGUUUCUUAGCCUUACUCUGCCAGAGCUCCAGACACAGCAACUGCCUCAAUUCAACUAGUGCAUCUCCACAUUUCUGUGUCUUUUAGAUGCAAAUCCCUCUCCUAACACUUCUUGCCUGGACUCCUACUCACCCUUCAAACCUAUGUCUGAGUGUCACCUCUUCUGGAAAGGCUUAACAUACACCUCAGUUCCUCGUCACCCUACCCUACCCCUCCAGGUUGCUGCCUUCUCUGAGCACCAUGGCCUUACCAUAAGGAAAUAAGACUCUCCCCCAACUCCACUGCCCACCAUUCCCCUACCGUGCCAUACCCUACAUUCAAAAGGUAAAAAGCAGGGACAAGGGAUAACACAUUUGCUUUAUGAGACAUUUGAAACUUCUCCACACCAGUGAAAAAUUUCACCUCUGAUAUCGAUGCUGUGGUUUUGGUAACUGGGAGUUCAGAGAAGCGGGGCAAGGAUGUCAGUACAAGCAGCACAGCCCCUUAGAUUGGGGUAAACUAUGAGACUCACUUGGUAGCCCAGCAGCAGGUGCUUUAGGGUAGAAUUCUGUGAACAUGCAAAUUACCCUUCCUUAGGACCACUCAGAAUUUGCUUUCCCCAGUUACAGCAAAGCCCACCCAAUGGAAAGCCCUUACAACAUAAUGGAAUGUGCCUUCUGCCGGGGGCACUGAACUCAGAAAACCUAAGCUCUAUCUAAUCACUAAAGGGACAAAAGUAUUCUUCCAAAGAUGGCUGCCCUAAGUGUUCUUGUCUAAAAUCCUUCUUUCUCUGAGCAUGUUCGAGCUGAAUAAAUUGUGUGUGGGUGAUAUUUAGAUUGCUGAGUGAGGCAAAGCAGAGCCUUCAUGGUUGGUUGAUUUGUAUUUAUUUUCCAAAGAACAGCAAACUUCCUGUCUGCCAAUACCAAAAUGCUUUGUUACGCAAGUUAUUCUACAUAAACUGUGAAGAUAAAAGGCCAAAGCUUUCUAUUAAAGAAAGAAGUAAAAUCUAAAAAAAAAAAAAAAAAAAAAAAUCAAAAA